GGAAGGUUAAGAGGACCGGUUAGUUCCUUCGGGAGCGAAGCUGAGAAUUUAAGCCCCAGUAAACGGCGGUGGUAACUAUAACCAUCCUAAGGUAGCGAAAUUCCUUGUCGGGUAAGUUCCGACCUGCACGAAUGGUGUAACGAUUUGGAUACUGUCUCAGCCAUGAGCUCGGUGAAAUUGUAGUAUCGGUGAAGAUGCCGAUUACCCGCUAUGGGACGAAAAGACCCCGUGCACCUUCACUACAACUUAGUAUUGACUUCGGAUAAACAAUGUGUAGGAUAGGUGGGAGACUUUGAAGC
Molecule: ribosomal RNA, 299 nt
Filed under: Ditylum brightwellii
Lineage: Eukaryota; Bacillariophyta; Thalassiosirophyceae; Lithodesmiales; Lithodesmiaceae
Description: partial Bacterial large subunit ribosomal RNA
Rfam family: Bacterial large subunit ribosomal RNA
Source: RNAcentral